GUCCACGCCGUAAACGAUGGGCACUAGGUGCUUUGGGGAGCGACCCCGGGUACCGGGCGCUAACGCAUGAAGUGCCCCGCCCUGGGGAGGUACGGCCGCAAGGCUGAAACUCAAAGGAAUUGACGGGGGCCCGGCACAAGCGGUGGAGCAUGUGGUUUAAUUCGACGCAACGCGCAGAACCUUACCUAGGCUUGACAUGCACGGGACAGCUGCUGGAAACAGUGGCCUCUCUUCGGAGCCCGUGCACAGGUGCUGCAUGGCUGUCGU
RNAcentral lists this ribosomal RNA (267 nucleotides) under uncultured bacterium. RNAcentral's name for it is "partial 16S ribosomal RNA". It matches the Rfam family "Bacterial small subunit ribosomal RNA", at positions 793 to 1055 of the family's 1533-position model. The record is from RNAcentral.